Molecule: ribosomal RNA, 460 nt
Filed under: uncultured bacterium
Lineage: Bacteria
Description: partial 16S ribosomal RNA
Rfam family: Bacterial small subunit ribosomal RNA
Source: RNAcentral
CCUACGGGUGGCAGCAGUGAGGAAUAUUGGUCAAUGGACGAGAGUCUGAACCAGCCAAGUAGCGUGAAGGAUGACUGCCCUAUGGGUUGUAAACUUCUUUUAUAUGGGAAUAAACUGUUCCACGUGUGGGAUUUUGUAUGUACCAUAUGAAUAAGGAUCGGCUAACUCCGUGCCAGCAGCCGCGGUAAUACGGAGGAUCCGAGCGUUAUCCGGAUUUAUUGGGUUUAAAGGGAGCGUAGGUGGAUUGUUAAGUCAGUUGUGAAAGUUUGCGGCUCAACCGUAAAAUUGCAGUUGAAACUGGCAGUCUUGAGUACAGUAGAGGUGGGCGGAAUGCGUGGUGUAGCGGUGAAAUGCUUAGAUAUCACGAAGAACUCCGAUUGCGAAGGCAGUUCACUGGACUGCAACUGACACUGAGGCUCGAAAGUGUGGGUAUCAAACAGGAUUAGAUACCCCUGUAGUC